AUUGAACGCUGGCGGCAUGCCUUACACAUGCAAGUCGAACGGCAGCACGGGGCAACCUGGUGGCGAGUGGCGAACGGGUGAGUAAUAUAUCGGAACAUACCCUAGAGUGGGGGAUAACGUAGCGAAAGUUACGCUAAUACCGCAUACGAACUAAGGUUGAAAGUGGGGGGAUCUUCGGACCUCAUGCUCAUGGAGUGGCCGAUAUCUGAUUAGGUAGUUGGUGAGGUAAAGGCUCACCAAGCCGACGAUCUGUAGCUGGUCUGAGAGGACGACCAGCCACACUGGGACUGAGACACGGCCCAGACUCCUACGGGAGGCAGCAGUGGGGAAUUUUGGACAAUGGGCGCAAGCCUGAUCCAGCAAUGCCGCGUGCAGGAUGAGGGCCUCGGUUGUAAC
RNAcentral lists this ribosomal RNA (396 nucleotides) under uncultured bacterium. RNAcentral's name for it is "bacterial SSU rRNA". It matches the Rfam family "Bacterial small subunit ribosomal RNA", at positions 30 to 429 of the family's 1533-position model. The record is from RNAcentral.